GUGAGUGACAAAAACUCUGAACUCUUUCUGUUUUUUAACUUCUACAAACUUUUCUAUAUACUCUGUCCCAGGUGGCUGGGCAAAUACUUGAGCCUUGAAAUGAAAUCUUGGAGUAUUCAGUAACUCGCACCAGCUAAAUCAAUCAUGAAUUGUGUAAUAAACUUUAGCCUUUGGCAUUUCAGAAUUUCAAGACUUUUAUUGCGGCAGCUGUUCUUAUAGUUUAUCUUCUAAGUUAUUUGUGUUUUCUUUAUAAUCUGUGUAUACUUUUUAUAAAAGGAGUAAUACAUGAACCUCUGAGUCAGGGAAUAGAGCUAGAAUUGUAUGUUUUUUGCUAUAUGCAAAUGAUAAUUUACUUUGUUUCAUAUUUUUACUUUCAAAAUUAUUUUUAAAAGGUAGUAUUUCAGAUAGAUGAUAUAGUGUUUAAUUACUGUUUAACAAACAUCAUUGCUGUGUGAGAUCUCCCAGGAAACUUGUAAUCACGCAAACAUUGUUUUUGUAAACUUUUAAAAAUCAAAUUUACCUUCAUACUUGUCUAGCAAUUAUCAAUAUGUGGGCAAAGGACUCACACAGAAGAUCUAUUAAAGAAGAACUAAAUAUAUUGAACAAAAUUAUACAAUAGAAUCAGUCUUUCAACAAUAUGACUACUCCAAACCUCAAUAUUACUAAAUUUAUUGUUUUGCUAAUCUUGUUCCACAUAUUUCAAUUUUUUUAAAUGAGUUUCUCUAAGGACUUCUGUGAGCGAGAAGAGUUUGUAUGUUUCUUUAACAUUUUCAUUUCUCUUCUUAUGUUCAAAUGCUCUGACCAUUUUUCUUUGAGUUGUCUAUAUUGUUAUUUCUGAAAUAUAUUAGUUCUUUAGAUAUGUGAAUUUUAAUCAUAUCUGGUAUAUAUACUAUAGAUAUAAUUCCUAAUUUAUCACCAUUAUUUUAACUUUAUUGAUUCAUUUUAAUUUUUAAUAUUCAAGUUUAUGAAAAUAUUUAGUAAUAACUUUUAUACCUCAUUAAUUACUAAGUAGGAAUAUUCUUCCUCGUAUCUAAUAUAUAGUCUGAUAUAAUUCUUAAAAAUAUUUUUGCAGUCGCAUUGUACUUAGCUCUGCAUUUCAUCAGGAGUUUAUUUUUCUAACGCAUGGGGUAGAAACCUAAAUUUUUUUCCUGAAGUAGCAAAGCAUCAUUUAUUGAACUGUCAUCGGUCUAUUCAUACCACAUUUCCCACUGAUUUGAAUAUUGUCUUAAUUGUGUGCUAAAUUUAUGAGUAUGUGGAUCUGCUGAAUUCUGUGAUAUUGACCAGUCUAUCAAGAUCAAUAUUGGCAUGAUACUGUUUUAAUUGCUAUAAAUUUAUAGAAAUAUAUGUUAUGAUAUGUAGCAAAUCAACCAUCCCUCACUAUUAUUUUUGUAUUCUUAAAGUAAUGCUGGAUUGCAAGAAUAAGUAUAUCUCCAAAUUUCAGUGUCUGAAACAAACAGAAGUUUGUUUCUCGUCCAUGUAACCAAGGCAAAUGCUCCUGGUUGGCAGGUGGCUUCCUCCAGGCAGUAAAUCUACAGCCCAGGCUCCCUGCAUCUUAUGGCUCCAAUCACUUUGGAUCUCAUCGUCGCCUGCACAUUGCCAUACACAGGGAAGGAGAAGAGAUGGAGAAGGCAAAGACUUUCUGAAAGCCGUGGCUAAAAGCUGGCAUGUGUCACAUCAGCUCACAUUCCAUUGUAGAGACGGGGUUUCACCGUGUUAGCCAGGAUGGUCUUGAUAUCCUGACCUCGUGAUCCGCCCGCCUUGGCUUCCCAAAGUGCUGGGAUUACAGGCGUGAGCCACCGCUCCCGGCCUGGCAGGCAUUCUUGAGGCAAACGGGAAAUGGGUGAACGGGAGGAACAUUGGCAGCACUUGUGGUCUGCACCAAGAACUGAAUCGAAUUUCCAUGUGUUAUUGAAUGUUCACAAAGACCUUGUACAGCGAGUGUUACUACCUCUGGUCAAUGAUUCAACUCAAGGCUCAGAAAAGUCAAGUGUCUUGUCCAGGGACACUUAGUCAGAAGUGAAUCCAAGGUUUAAGCUCAAGUCUGCCUAACUCUGAAUUUCACAGCCUUUUGCUACAUAUGGCGAAUAAUAUAUCCCUGAGCACUAAAGGCAGACUCCAAGGAUCUUGUCUCUGCAAUCAUCAUUCUGGCCAUAAUUUAUGAAAAGCAACCCAAAGUAUGUGAUGUAAUAAAAAGUACUAUCUAUGAGUUUACCCUUCCAAAAAUUGAACUGAAUUCUGAGCUCUAAAUUUGGAAUCAAAAGAACUUUUCUCUGCACUAAUCAUUUGGAACAUCACUUAAAGAAAACAACGAAAAACUGGUGUCCCCUGAGAGAAAGCAAUACAAAACAUUAUGCAUAAAGAAAUCCUUCCAAAAAAUAAACCAAAUCCAGUCAAAUCUCUAGUUUUGACUCCUAGCUUACCGGAAAUACGUGAUGGGAAAAAAAUGAAAUGACACCACUAUGAUUCAAUCAGCCAAAUCCAGCAUAUGCAAAUUUCUACCAGAUAAAUGGUUUAGUUUCUUCCCCAAACAAAUGGCACAAGGAAACGGAGGUAAGAAUGGGAUGCUGUUAUAGAUUUUAAAAGAUUUAAGAAAGUAUAAACUAAAUACACUAUGUGCAUCCUCUCUGAACGUGCUUCAAACAUAUCAAGGGGUCAAUGAGCAGUUUUGAAACAAUAAGGGAAUUUGAACACUGAAUGGUUGUCAGAAGAUAGUAAGAGAUCAUUAUUAAUUUUACUAGACAUAAUGAUGUUCUGAUUUUGUUUUUUUUUUAAAAAAAAAACAGUGUUAUUUCCUUUAUAGAUACAUCAUAUAGUAUUAACUAAUGAAAUGCUUUGAUAUCUGGAACGUUUAAAAAAUAUUCCCGAUGGAGUAAGUGCAAAGAAACAGGUAAGCAAAAUGCUGAUAAUUGCUGAAACACAGGAUGUGUACCUGGGGCUUCAUUUACUAUCUCUUCAUUUUCUAUUUUGAUAUUUGUUGGACAUUCUCAUAAAAAGGAAAGUUAUGUUUUAUUUUCUCAUAAGCUAGUAAUGAAAUAGCCCUACGUAACUGAUAUUGUAGAGACAAGAAUAGGUGUAAUAGAGCUUAAGGUUUUCAUUUAAAAAACUAUCUGUAGACUUCAAUGGAUCUUAGGUGGCAUCCAUGCAAUAACACUCGUGGAACAUGCAGGACAGGUGUGGAGCUCCAUCUUCACACAGUGACAUUUUUUAUGCUUCUGUUUUCCCUAAGAGUGGAGUGAGAGGAUGAUUAUUUUAUAUCAUGGACUUCUUCCCUGCUAUACUUUUUUUAAUUAUUUUACUUUCACUUCUGGGAUACAUGUGCUGAGCAUGCAGGCUUGUUUACAUAGGUAUACAUCUGCCAUGGUGGUUUGCUGCACCUAUCAACCCAUCAUACAGGUUUUAAGCCCUGCAUGCAUUAGGUAUUCGCCCUAAUGCUCUCCCUCGCCUUUCCCCCCACCCCCUGAUAGCCCCCAGUGAGUCAUAUUCCCCUCCCUGUGUCCAUGUGUUCUCAUUGUUCAACUCCCAUUUAUGAGUGAGAAUAUGUGGUGUUUAGUUUUCUGUUCCUGUGUUAGUUUGCUGAGAAUGAUGUUUUCCAGCUUCAUCCAUGUCCCUGAAAAGGACAUGAGCUCAUUCUUUUUUAUGGCUGCAUAGUAUUCCACGGUGUUAUAUGUGCCACAUUUUCUUAAUCCAGUCUGUCAUUGAUGGACAUUUGGGUUGUUUCCAAGUCUUUGCUAUUGUAAAUAGUGCUGCAAUAAACAUAUGUGUGCAUGUGUCUUUGUAGUAGAAUGAUUUAUAAUCCUUUGGGUAUAUGCCCAGUAAUGGGACUGAUGGGUCAAAUGGUAUUUCUGGUUCUAGAUCCUUGAGGAAUUGCCACACUGUCUUCCACAAUGGUUGAACUAAUUUAUACUCCCACCAACAGGGUAAAAGCAUUCCUAUUUCUCCACAUCCUCUCCAGCAUCUGUUGUUUCCAAAUGUUUUAAUGAUUGCCAUUCCACCUGGCGUGAGAUGGUAUCUCAUUGUGGUUUUGAUUUUCAUUUCUCUAAUGACCAGUGAUGAUAAGCUUUUUUUCAUAUGUUUGUUGGCCACAUAAAUGUCUUCUUUUGACUUUUAUGUGGAAACAAAUUUAACUGCACAGAGAGGUGAAAAUUAAUUAAUAACUUUUAAAGUAAUUCCCUAAGUUUCUAAGGAUCUAUAUGUUUCCAUCUGACUUUAUUUUAUUUAAGCUCUUGAUUGAUGCUGCAUUUGGAGCAGGUUCAUGAACAUGAAUAGAGUUAAUCUGGGACAGAUUUCCCUCAUUUGAUUUUUUCACUGUUUCCAUCACAGAACUUAUUUCAUGCUCACCAUGUUUGCAGGCAUUGAGCUUGGUACUGGAGCCACAGAGCUGGAUCAGACAGACUUGUGCAAAUAUUUCAGGUUUUUUUUGUGGGGGGGUCAUAUUUAUAGAUAAAUAACAGUAAAGAGUGACGGGUUCUUAUGAAAAUGCAUACACAGUGAAGUAGAGGGUGAAAAGGAGGGAUGUGUUCUAUGAGGAGGAAGAGUGAUAAGAAAGUGUAAGGGGAUGUGUCUGUGUCUAGACAUAUGUGUGUUCACGUGUGUGCGUGCUUGUGUGUACUGCAUGUGUAUAUGUGUGGCCAUGCACCUGUGUGCAUGUUCAUGUGUGUGUGUGUAUGUGUCUGUGUUGAGGACUAAAUUAAUUGGGCUUAUGGAAGCAGGGAGCCACUGAUAGGUUUAAUUAGAGACUGACAUGAUAUGAUAGUUUAGGUGGAUUUCUCUGGGGGCUGUGUUGAGGGACAGUGGGGAGGAGAGCUAGAAGGAAGAAAAGGACACAUGCAUAACAGAAGCAAUAUCUGUCUAUGGGAUGGUGGAAAGAAUCAGAAAAGACUUAAUAAAACAUGUGACACUUUAACUGAAUCUUGAAAUAGACAAGUGUUGGAGGAGGGAGUUGGACCAGAUACUUCAUGCAAAGGGAAGAAAAGUGCACAAACAAAAUAUGAGAAACAAGGCAGACAGGCAUUUUUUUAAAAUUUUCGCACCCACUGAUAGACCAGUGAUGCAUUCACAUCGUCUGCAUUCAUGAUCAACAAAAGUGCUUUCCUAGAACAUGAACCUCAACCCAAGUGUCGCCUCAAGUAGUGUAUGCAUGAACUCAAGCAUUAAAUUAGAAUUGAUUUUUUAAAAAACUCACACAAACAGAUGUAUUAUUUAAAAAUCUUUAAAGCAGGUUUAAACAGUUUUCAGGAUUAAAAGCAGCCACUAUUAGAAAGAACAAAAAUACAUUUGACAUAAAUAUAAGGAGCCUCAAUAGAACCUCCUGUACCCAGUCAUUGUCAAUGCCACAUCCAUUCAUUCACCAGCCCUUAUAUCAAUGCUUGCUGGGCUCACUUACCACGAUCAGCACGUGCAUGUCCUUAUCUGAAAGCUUGCCACUCAAAUGUGCUCAGUCUUACCUGUGUGGCUGGGAGUGUUGGGGAUUUAAUGUCAAGGGAAAGAAUCUUCCAUCAAUGAAUGAUGAAAGUUAGUUUUCACAACUUCCGGUCCCCUUGGCCCUCAUCAAAGGGCUCCAGGUGAGGUUUGGGCUCCUUGCUAUCCUCCGAGUUUCCACGGUAGUUUUAAGCACCAUUGCCCGUGGUAAUGGCUGACAUUGAUACUGCACUUUUUUUUUAUUUAAGAUGGAGUUCCCCUCUGCCACCCAGACUGGAGUACAGUGGCGCGAUCCUGGCCAUCGCAACCUCCGCCUCCCAGGUUCAAGCGAUUCUCCUGCCUCAGUCUCUCAAGUAGCUGGGAUAUGGGCACCUGUCACCAUGCCCAGCUAAUUUUUUUAAAAUUUAUUUUUAGUAGAGAUGGGGUUUCACCAUGUUGGCCAGGCUGGUCUCGAACUCCUGACCUCAGGUGAUCCACCCACACUUUUUAUUGUUUGCCUACACUUUCUAGACUUGCUUCAUCAGCCUACUCCGUUUCUGGUUGAUAUGGUUUGGUUGUGUCCCCACUCAAAUCUUAUCUAGAAGUGUAAUCCCCAAGUCUCAAGGGAGGGACCUGGUGUGAGGUGAUUGGAUUGGGGGGUGGUUCCCGCCAUGCUGUUCUCAUGAUAGUGAGUGAGUUCUCAUGAGAUCUGAUGGUUUUAUAAGGCAGUUUUCCCUAUUCUUGCUCACUCUUCUCUCUCUUUCUGCCAUGUGAAGAAGGUCCUUGCUUCCCCUUCACCUUCUACCAUGAUUGUAAGUUUCCUGAGGCCUCCCCUCAGCCAUGCACAACUGUGAGUCAAUUAAACCUCUUUCCUUUAUAAAUUACUCAGUCUCAGGUCGUAUCUUUAUAGCAGUAUGAGAAUGGACUAAUACACUGGUCUAUCCUUCAUCCAAAUUAACUACCUGCACUGCAGUCCUUGUCUCAGGCUCUGCUUUGAGGGACCCCAACUGUGACAGCCGCAUUAGAAUGCAUCACAUACUGCAGUGAAAUUCUAGAGUGGGUGUUGUCAGGUGGUGAUGAUUGUUAGAUAUGUCAGUCUGUUUUCAGGCUGCUGAUAAAGACAUACCUGAGACUGGGUAAUUUAUAAAGGAAAAGGAGGUUUAAUGGACUCACAGUUCCACAUGGCUAGGGAGGCCUCACAAUCAUGGCAGAAGGUGAAAGGCACGGCUUACAGGGUGGCAGCAAGAGAGGAAAUGAGAACCAAGUGAAAAGGUUUCUGCUUAUAAAACCAUCAGCUCUUGUGAGACUUAUUCAUUACAAUGAGAACAAUAUGGGGGAAACUGCCCCCAUGAUUCAAUUAUCUCCCACCAGAUCCCUCCUACAACACAUGAGAAUUGUGGGUGCUACAAUUCAAGAUGAGAUUUGAGUGGGGACAAAGUCAAACCAUAUCAUUAGAUAGGACACUGGAGAAAGGCAAGAAAGAAAAGACAUCUGAAGAAUGAAGGGAGCCAAAGAAAUGCCAACAUUUUGCUUUUUGAAGAAAAGCUAAAUUAAAGUCAAAAUGGAUUUAUCAAUUUCCUUGGGUUCGUGAAUGUACAGAACUUUAUUAAGACUGUCAUGCUGUCAUCAUGGCUGGAUCUGAUACGGCCACCGUGGACCUUGAGGUGACCUCGGGAAUGGAGACAGUGCAUGGGAGAGAAUCACAUUGGAAGGGGCCUGGGUUUCUGAAGACCCUGUAAGACAGAUCUCCUUGCAGCCCUGACUGCCCACAUUAGGGCUUUUAUGUUAGGGUGAAGUUACCUUGCAUUGUCAUAUAAGCAAUUGCUAUUUGUGGUGUCUUGCAAAUAAACCUAUUCUGAUCUAGUAUGUUUCCUAAAAAACAAAAGUUUGAACCCAGCUCUUUACGUGUUACAUGUUCUGAAUACAAAAAUAAGACCCAGUUUCUGCCCCCUAGCAGGACCCAAAACCCCUCAGUGAAGGCAUACACCAUAGGAAUAAUCUCACAAGUACUUU
Molecule: long non-coding RNA, 7410 nt
Filed under: Homo sapiens (human)
Lineage: Eukaryota; Metazoa; Chordata; Mammalia; Primates; Hominidae
Description: HSALNT0196695
Source: RNAcentral